CAAUCCAUGAGUAAAGCGGCGUACGGGUGAGUAACACGUGGGUAAUCUACCUUUUAGUGGGGAAUAACCCUGGGAAACCGGGGCUAAUACCGCAUAAUCCUGCAAAGGGAAAGCAGCAAUGCGCUGAAAGAGGAGCCCGCGGCCGAUUAGCUAGUUGGUGGGGUAAGAGCCUACCAAGGCGAUGAUCGGUAGCGGGUCUGAGAGGAUGAUCCGCCACACGGGGACUGAGACACGGCCCCG
Molecule: ribosomal RNA, 240 nt
Filed under: uncultured bacterium
Lineage: Bacteria
Description: partial 16S ribosomal RNA
Rfam family: Bacterial small subunit ribosomal RNA
Source: RNAcentral